RNAcentral lists this ribosomal RNA (559 nucleotides) under Aureobasidium pullulans. RNAcentral describes it as "eukaryotic LSU rRNA". It matches the Rfam family "Eukaryotic large subunit ribosomal RNA", at positions 88 to 662 of the family's 3401-position model. Lineage: Eukaryota; Fungi; Ascomycota; Dothideomycetes; Dothideales; Saccotheciaceae. The record is from RNAcentral.
GGCGAGUNNNCGGCAACAGCUCAAAUUUGAAAGCUAGCCUUCGGGUUCGCAUUGUAAUUUGUAGAGGAUGAUUUGGGGAAGCCGCCUGUCUAAGUUCCUUGGAACAGGACGUCAUAGAGGGUGAGAAUCCCGUAUGUGACAGGAAAUGGCACCCUAUGUAAAUCUCCUUCGACGAGUCGAGUUGUUUGGGAAUGCAGCUCUAAAUGGGAGGUAAAUUUCUUCUAAAGCUAAAUAUUGGCGAGAGACCGAUAGCGCACAAGUAGAGUGAUCGAAAGAUGAAAAGCACUUUGGAAAGAGAGUUAAAAAGCACGUGAAAUUGUUGAAAGGGAAGCGCUUGCAAUCAGACUUGUUUAAACUGUUCGGCCGGUCUUCUGACCGGUUUACUCAGUUUGGACAGGCCAGCAUCAGUUUCGGCGGCCGGAUAAAGGCUCUGGGAAUGUGGCCUCCACUUCGGUGGAGGUGUUAUAGCCCAGGGUGUAAUACGGCCAGCCGGGACUGAGGUCCGCGCUUCGGCUAGGAUGCUGGCGUAAUGGUUGUAAGCGACCCGUCUUGAAACNAC